CCUACGGGAGGCAGCAGUGAGGAAUAUUGGUCAAUGGGCUUACGCCUGAACCAGCCAAGUCGCGUGAGGGAAGACUGCCCUAUGGGUUGUAAACCUCUUUUGUCAGGGAGCAACGCCGGCUACGUGUAGCCGGACUGAGAGUACCUGAAGAAAAAGCAUCGGCUAACUCCGUGCCAGCAGCCGCGGUAAUACGGAGGAUGCGAGCGUUAUCCGGAGUUAUUGGGUUUAAAGGGUGCGUAGGCGGAAUGCCAAGUCAGCGGUAAAAUCGCGGGGCUCAACCUCGCUCCGCCGUUGAAACUGGCGUUCUUGAGUGGGCGAGAAGUAUGCGGAAUGCGUGAUGUAGCGGUGAAAUGCAUAGAUAUCACGCAGAACUCCGAUUGCGAAGGCAGCAUACCGGCGCCCAACUGACGCUGAAGCACGAAAGCGUGGGUAUCGAACAGGAUUAGAUACCCCAGUAGUC
Molecule: ribosomal RNA, 460 nt
Filed under: uncultured bacterium
Lineage: Bacteria
Description: partial 16S ribosomal RNA
Rfam family: Bacterial small subunit ribosomal RNA
Source: RNAcentral